GCAUGUCUAAGUACGCACGGCCGGUACAGUGAAACUGCGAAUGGCUCAUUAAAUCAGUUAUCGUUUAUUUGAUAGUACCUUACUACUUGGAUAACCGUGGUAAUUCUAGAGCUAAUACAUGCUAAAAACCCCAACUCACGAAGGGGUGUAUUUAUUAGAUUAAAAACCAAUGCCCUUCGGGGCUCUCUGGUGAUUCAUAAUAACUUUUCGAAUCGCAUGGCCUUGUGCCGGCGAUGGUUCAUUCAAAUUUCUGCCCUAUCAACUUUCGAUGGCAGGGUCUUGGCCUGCCAUGGUUACAACGGGUAACGGAGGGUUAGGGCUCGACCCCGGAGAAGGAGCCUGAGAAACGGCUACUACAUCCAAGGAAGGCAGCAGGCGCGCAAAUUACCCAAUCCU
RNAcentral lists this ribosomal RNA (396 nucleotides) under Thalassiosira antarctica. RNAcentral's name for it is "partial Eukaryotic small subunit ribosomal RNA". It matches the Rfam family "Eukaryotic small subunit ribosomal RNA", at positions 53 to 452 of the family's 1831-position model. Lineage: Eukaryota; Bacillariophyta; Thalassiosirophyceae; Thalassiosirales; Thalassiosiraceae. The record is from RNAcentral.